ACGAACCACUGUGGUGUCGGAGCCAGGAGGGCCGGAAGAAGAGAUUCGAUACCCUCCUGGCUCAGCUGCGGUGGGGAAGGAUGGCCUGAUCCUGGCAGAUCGACCCAGGUAAACCCAAGCCCCCUCGGAGGGGCGCCCUCAGCCCCGGCCGCAGUUCCACCAUUUCUCAAGGGCGGGGGAAAUCUCCGUUUCCCACGGGUCCGCCUCAGAGCCAGGCUGGAGGUCAGGCAGCAGGAGAGAGAAGUCCCUUUCCCACCCACCCAGCCACCCUUUAUUUUAUUUUUAUUUAUUUUUUUAAACUCCGGGACUCCUGAGGUCCCCGACAAGAGGCGCUCCAGCCGUGCGGGGAAACGUCGCUCCUGCGCUCCCGCAGCCUUUCCUGGUUUUGGUCGCUCAACGCGUUCCUCCUUGCCACUCCAGCGUCCAUCAUCCUCCCCCUCCCGGCCAGCAUUGCGAAACGGGGAGCACGUCAAGCCGCCCGGCGGCCCGCUCGCCUCCUCCAGCCAGCCUUUCCGUCGGAGGGUUGCGCGCCUCCGCCGACGGGCGCGCGCCUCGCUCAGGGCCGGCUCGUCCUCGCCGGUGCCCCUCCCCUCCCUUCUCCCUCCCUCCUCCCCCGGGGGGGCCAUGAGCUCAUCGCGUGGGGCGGGGCCACCGGGGCUCAUAAAAUCCUCCGCCCGGCCUCGGGCUUCCCCAAGCGGGCCAGCGUUAGCCAGCGAGCCCAGGGAGACGCCCGAGAGGAGCUGGAAGCCGCGCCUCGGGGGACCAAGCACAGCCGCCCCGCCGCCGCCGCCGCCGCCGCCGCCCCGGACCCAGCCGGAUCGAACCCGCGCCGCGGCCAUGAGCUCCAUCCUGGACGUCAAUACCCUCUAUCAGGUGAGUGGCGCUCAGGACCACGGAAAGCGCCCCCGCGGCCCGAAGCCGGAGCUGGGCCGAGGAGUUGUGUCCCAGCCGCGGGCUUGGCUCCCCGCCUGCCCCCGCCCUCCCUUCUUUCGGAGGUGGGAAAGGGCUUCCGUGUGA
Molecule: long non-coding RNA, 1017 nt
Filed under: Pogona vitticeps (central bearded dragon)
Lineage: Eukaryota; Metazoa; Chordata; Lepidosauria; Squamata; Agamidae
Description: lncRNA (ENSPVIG00000020568.1)
Source: RNAcentral